Molecule: non-coding RNA, 439 nt
Organism: Equus quagga
Lineage: Eukaryota; Metazoa; Chordata; Mammalia; Perissodactyla; Equidae
Source: the annotation of a RefSeq genome assembly
GGGUCUCAGAAGACAGUGCUGUUGGGGAAUCUCCACUAUGGCCUGGGCUCUGCUCCUCCUCACCCUCCUCACUCAGGGCACAGGGUCCUGGGCCCAGUCUGCCCUGACUCAGCCUGCGUCAGUGUCCGGGACUCUGGGACAGUCGGUCACCAUCUCCUGUGCUGGAAGCACGGGAUCUUAUAAAUAUAUUUCCUGGUACCAACAGCACCCGGGCACAGCCCCCAAACUCCUAAUUUAUAAUGGGAAUAAUCGGGCCUCAGGGAUCCCUGAUCGCUUCUCCGGCUCCACGUCUGGCAACAUGAUGUCCCUGACCAUCUCUGGGCUCCAGGCUGAGGACGAGGCUGAUUAUUACUGUCACGCGUAUGCUGGCAGUUAUAGUUACCACAGUGGUUCAAGCCCAUGGGGAAGUGAGACCCAAACCUCCUCUGAGCUCACUUGA